RNAcentral lists this long non-coding RNA (618 nucleotides) under Heterocephalus glaber (naked mole-rat). RNAcentral describes it as "lncRNA (ENSHGLG00100036046.1)". Lineage: Eukaryota; Metazoa; Chordata; Mammalia; Rodentia; Bathyergidae. The record is from RNAcentral.
AGCGUGUGCCGCUGUGGGCACUGUGUCCUCUGAGUUCCGGAGCUGGACCAGAGAGGAUGUGCUGUCUUAUUUAAAGGGCUGAUUACUGGAUUCCUAAAUGGGGAAAGAAAGCUCUGGGGAACAGGGUCUCUGGCCCUCCAGGGAUUUCACCACAGGAUUCUGACUGCUGCCAUUUUAGAGUUCUGGUUCUAUCAGGAACAGAGUUUGAAUUAAACAGCAAUUGCUCUUUAACGACCUUGGAGCACCUUUUGCCACAAGUGUAUGGACCAAUACAGCCCAGGUGCAGCCUCGUGACAGUUGUCUGGAGAAGUUUCUUGGAAAUUUAUGAGACUUUCAAAACACAAACUGCUCGGAGCCGAGCCGACCUGCUGGAGACUGGGAGAAUCAGAGGCAGGUCUGACCUGGAGCCCAACAACAUGACGACCCCGGUCCUUGCACAUGGAGUGGCUCCUGCCAGUGGGGCUCACCAGCAGCACUGACCUUCCAGGUUGCCCCCAGAGCGCUGCAGAGUGGUGUGUGGACCAUGACUUUAAUGGCUCCUCCAGGCUUCACAGUGUAGCCUGAUCCAGAGGGUGAAGGACAGCGCAGCUUCUUUUGGAGUCCAUGGGUUAGCUGCAC